GCGGGAAUGCCGGAAUUGGCAGACGGGCCAGACUAAGGAUCUGGUGAUCGCAAGGUCGUGAGGGUUCAAGUCCCUUUUCCCGCA
RNAcentral lists this transfer RNA (84 nucleotides) under Diplocloster modestus. Its description in RNAcentral is "tRNA-Leu". It matches the Rfam family "tRNA". Rfam says of the family: Transfer RNA (tRNA) molecules are approximately 80 nucleotides in length. Their secondary structure includes four short double-helical elements and three loops (D, anti-codon, and T loops). Further hydrogen bonds mediate the characteristic L-shaped molecular structure. tRNAs have two regions of fundamental functional importance: the anti-codon, which is responsible for specific mRNA codon recognition, and the 3' end, to which the tRNAs corresponding amino acid is attached (by aminoacyl-tRNA synthetases). tRNAs cope with the degeneracy of the genetic code in two manners: having more than one tRNA (with a specific anti-codon) for a particular amino acid; and 'wobble' base-pairing, i.e. permitting non-standard base-pairing at the 3rd anti-codon position. RNAcentral also lists the same sequence under 1 other name. Lineage: Bacteria; Bacillati; Bacillota; Clostridia; Lachnospirales; Lachnospiraceae. The record is from RNAcentral.